Molecule: long non-coding RNA, 1476 nt
Organism: Pistacia vera
Lineage: Eukaryota; Viridiplantae; Streptophyta; Magnoliopsida; Sapindales; Anacardiaceae
Exons: 3
Source: RefSeq, a predicted model, not a curated record
CAUACAGUCCAGUCAAAAGUUGAUCAUCAAGUUUACUACUACUGAGAGCACACGAAGUAUAUAUGGAAAGAAUUGAUAAUAACAGGUCUCUUGAAUCUGUUUGGAUCGUGGAUUGCAACAAUCUUAAAUCCAUUCCUGAGGGCCUACACACCCUUGGCAAUCUUAGCCAUAUUCGUAUACGAGAUUGCAGAAGUCUUGUUUCGUUCACAAAAGAUGGGCUUCCUAACACUGAUUUAAAAGUUCAUACCAGUUUUUGUGAGAAGCUACAAAUGCUACCUUAUUGCUUGAACAACCUCAAAUCUCUUCAACACUUAGCCUUACGCCACUGUCCGAGCAUUUCCUCCUUUCCUCGUGAAGAUUUUCCCACCAACCUAAAUUCACUUUUAAUUGAUGAGCCCAAUAUCUACAAGUCACUGACUUCGUGGGGCUUACACAAACUCACCUCUCUUAGAGAACUCACAAUCCGUAGAUCCCCGGAUGCAGUGUCUUUCCCAGAAGUGGAGAUGGGAAUGAUUUUACUUAGCUCUCUAAUUGAUCUCUCACUUGAAAUAUUCCCGAAAUUGAAACACCUAUCUUCUAAAGGCUUCCAAAAUCUCACAUCUCUUGAAUCAUUGACAUUCAAGAAUUGCCCUAAUCUCGCAUCUUUUGCAAAACUUCCAUCAUCAGUUUUGCAACUACAUAUUUAUGAAUGUCCUUUGCUGAAAGAACAGUGCAAAUGGAAUGAAGGAUCAGAGCAGUUCAGGAUAGCCCACAUCCCUUGUGUUUAUAUCGAUGACAAAUUCAUCUAUGAUCCAGAGGAGGGAAGAAUCAAUCCCAUUUGAUCCCAAAACAAAGAAGAGGUGUUAUUUAGACGAUCAAUCGCUAUCCAUAUGCUCUUUUCAGGAUGCAGCUCAAAAUUCUCAACUCCCAGGUGCGGCGGUCAGCUACUCAGCUUUACCAUGUGAUCUGUUAAAACUUAAACUCAGGGCUUAUAAAUAUAUAAUUCAGUGAGAUUGAAGUGGAUUAUUUGAAACGUCAAGUACAUCUCCCUAUCAGACUGAGAUUCAAAGACGUGCUGUAUUUUGGUUUAAACAAAAGUUGAAAAUGAAGUACUCUUCUCAAAUCUUAAAUUUAAUUGCAUCAUCACCCUCCUUGAUUCUUUGAACUGAAUUUAACUUCAUCGUCACCCACUGCAGUGGGUGGAAGUAGCUUUGUUACCUAUUCAAUCAGGUACUACAGAUUUUUUGGUACAUCACAUUCAUGCAUCAAUGAUUCAAGUGACUGUAGGUAUUAAAGUUUCUUUAGAUUCAUGCAAUAUUUGGGUUUCCGUCCAGAUGAUCAAUUCAUGUUAUUGAUGAGUGGACUAAAAAGAAGCUUGGAUAGCAAAGUUAUGAUAUUUACAUAUCUUUUAUCGCAAUUCUAUUUUUUUUGUCUCUAGUUUAUGGAAUCAGACUAUGAAAGUUAUUGGGAACAAAAAAUUCAACAUAACUUUUGCAU